RNAcentral lists this unclassified non-coding RNA (625 nucleotides) under Hevea brasiliensis (rubber tree). The record is from RNAcentral. Lineage: Eukaryota; Viridiplantae; Streptophyta; Magnoliopsida; Malpighiales; Euphorbiaceae.
UGACCCAUCUGCUCAAUUCUUCUUCAAUUUCUAUUUCCUUCUGCACGCAACUCAACUGAAGAGACCGAGAGAGAAAUGGCGUGGUUGACCCGAUUCCUAACGGCGGUGGUUUUUCUCGCCAUCGGAGUAGUAUUUUCGCCGGAGACCUUCGGAUCGAACUCCAAAACCUUCAAUGCGCCGAAGCUUUCGAUGUAUCUCAAAUUGGCUCAUCUUCUCAGCUACUCCACCGCCUGGGGCGCCGCUCUCUGGGUCACCUUCAUCGGCGGCAUCAUCAUGUUCAAGAAUCUGCCAAGGCACCAAUUCGGGAAUCUUCAAAGCAAGAUGUUCCCUGCCUACUUCUCAAUGGUAGGGAUUUGCUGUGCCACAUCCGUUGCAGCUUUUGGUUAUCUUCAUCCAUGGAAGUCUGCAGCAACUUCUGAGAGGUACCAGCUUGGGUUUUUGAUAUCGGCGUUUGCUUUUAAUUUGGCAAACCUGUUUGUCUUCACACCCAUGACCAUUGAGCUGAUGAAACAAAGACACAAAGUGGAGAGGGAAAGUAAUAUUGGCGAGGAAGUUGGGUGGUCAAAAAAUGUAGAAGUUGCAAAGGUGAAUCCAAAACUUGCAGCAAUGAACAAGAAAUUCGGGA